AGCUCCACUAGCGUAUAUUAAAGUUGCUGCAGUUAAAAAGCUCGUAGUCGGAUCUCGGGAUCGUGUCGGUGAUUUGGUUGCUUCUCCUGCGUUUCGGCGUUGGGGGUUGUGGCCGGUCAUCGGCCCUGCCGGCGAGGUCCCUACCUUUGGUGGGGUUCCACCUCGCUCGUGCAGCCCGCCGUUGCGAUUUGGCGGGGGGCCCUUAUUGGAUGCCCGUCUCGAUUGGUGACCAGUUUACCUUGAACAAAUCGGAGUGCUCAAAGCAUGCUCUUUAUCGCUCGAACGGUAGCGCAUGGAAUAAUGGAAGAGGACUUGCUUCCGCUUCUGUUGGUCUCACGGGAGCAGGUAAUGAUCAAGAGGGACGGAUGGGGGCAGAGGUAUGUCUCGGCGAGAGGUGAAAUUCUUGGACCCUAGACAGACCCUCGAGAGCGAAAGCAUCUGCCAAAGAUGUUUCCA
RNAcentral lists this ribosomal RNA (456 nucleotides) under marine Metazoa environmental sample. RNAcentral describes it as "SSU rRNA". It matches the Rfam family "Eukaryotic small subunit ribosomal RNA", at positions 587 to 972 of the family's 1831-position model. Lineage: Eukaryota; Metazoa. The record is from RNAcentral.